GAAACGUGGAUUAAUACCGGAUACCCUCACGGAAUCGCAUGGUUCUGUGAGGAAAUGCUCCGGCGCUUUGGGAUGGACUCGCGGCCUAUCAGCUAGUUGGUGAGGUAACGGCUCACCAAGGCACUGACGGGUAGCUGGUCUGAGAGGACGAACAGCCACACUGGGACUGAGACACGGCCCAGACUCCUACGGGAGGCAGCAGCAGGGAAUAUUGCACAAUGGGCGCAAGCCUGAUGCAGCGACGCCGCGUGAGGGAUGAAGGCUUUCGGGUCGUAAACCUCUUUCAGUGGGGAAGAAGCGCAAGUGACGGUACCCACACAAGAAGGCCCGGCCAACUACGUGCCAGCAGCCGCGGUAAGUACGUAGGGGCCAAGCGUUAUCCGGAUUUAUUGGGCGUAAAGAGCUCGUAGGCGGUUUGGUAAGUCGGUCGUGAAAGUCCGAGGCUCAACCUCGGAAUGCCGGUCGAUACUGCCAUGACUAGGGUUCGGUAGAGGAGAGUGGAAUUCUCGGUGUAGCGGUGAAAUGCGCAGAUAUCGAGAGAAACACCAGUAGCGAAGGCGGCUCUCUGGGCCGAUA
Molecule: ribosomal RNA, 576 nt
Filed under: uncultured bacterium
Lineage: Bacteria
Description: bacterial SSU rRNA
Rfam family: Bacterial small subunit ribosomal RNA
Source: RNAcentral